This is a non-coding RNA of Pelobates cultripes (western spadefoot toad), 729 nucleotides long. The record is from the annotation of a GenBank genome assembly. NCBI's taxonomy places the organism in Eukaryota, Metazoa, Chordata, Amphibia, Anura, Pelobatidae.
UUUUAAAGGGCAUAUAUGGCUUUUUGAUCAUAGAUUGUGAUUUUUUUUUUUAUAUAUAUACAAACCAUCUUUCUGUUCCCAAAAUUUCAAAAAGGCUUAAUUAUCUUUCUUUAAUUGGAUCUCAAAAGUCUAUCUGGUAACCCUUUUUGUUAACUAAUGUAAUGAUAUCAGAUACCAAUAAUGGAAAGAGCUAUGGAUCCUGCUUACUGACCUCUGGUUCUUAUCUCAUAGUGGAAAGAAUGUUGUUCUUUAUGAGACAUAAUUGUGAAUCUUCUACACACAUUGCAUACAGCUCAUUGGUCACAGAGUCUAAGUGUGAUGGAAGGGAGCCCCAGGUAAUGAUUGAUACCUUAGACUCCAUGAUGUGAGGAAGCCAGGCAUUUAAAUGUCUGUAUUAAUCAUCAGUGAGGCAUAGCUGAUAUCUCCCUAGGCACCGUGAGUAGCACUGCCAUUCAGUGUACCCACCCUCUGCAUGCAGACACUGAACUUUCCUCAUAGAGAUACAUUGAAUCAAUUUAUCUCUAUGAGGAGAUGCUGAUUGGCCAGUGCUGUGUUUGACUUGUACUGGCUCUGCCCCUGAUCUGCCUCCUAGACAGUCUCAGCCAAUCCUAUGGGGAAGAAUUAUGAUUGGCUCAGGCCACCACUUCUGAUGAUGUCAGCAGACAGGGGCAGAGCCAGCAGCUGCAGACUUGAAUACAAGUAAGAUUUUACUAUAUAUAGGUAGGCAAG